UUGCAUGUAGCUUAGUUGGGAGAGCACUUGGCUGUUAACCAAGGGGUCACAGGUUCGAGUCCUGUCGUGCAAGCCA
Molecule: transfer RNA, 76 nt
Filed under: Pseudomonas sp. PLMAX
Lineage: Bacteria; Pseudomonadati; Pseudomonadota; Gammaproteobacteria; Pseudomonadales; Pseudomonadaceae
Also listed under: 1 other name
Description: tRNA-Asn
Rfam family: tRNA
About the family: Transfer RNA (tRNA) molecules are approximately 80 nucleotides in length. Their secondary structure includes four short double-helical elements and three loops (D, anti-codon, and T loops).
Source: RNAcentral